GCAUAUCAAUAAGCGGAGGAAAAGAAACUAACAAGGAUUCCCCUAGUAACGGCGAGUGAAGCGGGAUGAGCUCAAAUUUAAAAUCUGAUAGUCUUUGGCUGUCCGAGUUGUAAUCUAGAGAAGUGUUUUCCGCGUUGGACCAUGUACAAGUUUCCUGGAACGGAACGUCAUAGAGGGUGAGAAUCCCGUCCUUGACAUGGACUACCAGUGCUUUGUGAUACACUCUCAACGAGUCGAGUUGUUUGGGAUUGCAGCUCAAAAUGGGAGGUAAAUUCCUUCUAAAGCUAAAUAUUGGCGAGAGACCGAUAGCGAACAAGUACCGUGAGGGAAAGAUGAAAAGCACUUUGGAAAGAGAGUUAAACAGUACGUGAAAUUGUUAAAAGGGAAACGAUUGAAGUCAGUCGCGUUUACUUGGACUCAGCCUUACCUCGGUUUGGUGCAUUUCCUUGUGAACGGGCCAGCGUCAAUGUUGUUCGUUGGAAAAGGGUUAGAGAAAUGUGGCUCUUUCGGGAGUGUUAUAGUCUCUGAUCGUAUACAACGGCUGAUAUUGAGUGGUACAGCAUGCUUCGGCGGUGCUUGUGCUGGCAUAAUGGCUUUAAACGACCCGUCUUGAAACACGGACC
Molecule: ribosomal RNA, 623 nt
Filed under: Minimedusa polyspora
Lineage: Eukaryota; Fungi; Basidiomycota; Agaricomycetes; Cantharellales; Hydnaceae
Description: eukaryotic LSU rRNA
Rfam family: Eukaryotic large subunit ribosomal RNA
Source: RNAcentral